This 560-nucleotide ribosomal RNA is filed under the name uncultured bacterium. RNAcentral describes it as "bacterial SSU rRNA". It matches the Rfam family "Bacterial small subunit ribosomal RNA", at positions 338 to 917 of the family's 1533-position model. The record is from RNAcentral.
CCUACGGGAGGCAGCAGUGGGGAAUAUUGGACAAUGGGCGAAAGCCUGAUCCAGCAAUGCCGCGUGAGUGAUGAAGGCCUUCGGGUCGUAAAGCUCUUUUACCAGGGAUGAUAAUGACAGUACCUGGAGAAUAAGCUCCGGCUAACUCCGUGCCAGCAGCCGCGGUAAUACGGAGGGAGCUAGCGUUGUUCGGAAUUACUGGGCGUAAAGAGUACGUAGGCGGUUAUUCAAGUCAGAGGUGAAAGCCCGGGGCUCAACCCCGGAACUGCCUUUGAAACUAGAUAACUAGAGUCUUGGAGAGGUUAGUGGAAUUCCGAGUGUAGAGGUGAAAUUCGUAGAUAUUCGGAAGAACACCAGUGGCGAAGGCGACUAACUGGACAAGUACUGACGCUGAGGUACGAAAGCGUGGGGAGCAAACAGGAUUAGAUACCCUGGUAGUCCACGCCGUAAACGAUGAUAACUAGUUGUUCGGUCACUUGGUGACUGAGUGACGCAGCUAACGCAUUAAGUUAUCCGCCUGGGGAGUACGGUCGCAAGNUUAAAACUAAUGAAUUGAACGG